GGGAUUAUUGCUAUUGGGGCUAUUGUAACCACUUGUAAUCCUGUCUACACGGUGUCUGAGCUAACCAAGCAAGUUAAAGAUGCUAAACCCAAACUUGUGAUAUCUGUUGCUGAAUUGUGGGACAAAGUGAAGGAUCUAAACAUCCCAACUGUGUUACUGGACCAGCAGAUUCCUUCAGCAAUUCACUCUUCCAAAAUAUUAUGUUUC
RNAcentral lists this unclassified non-coding RNA (207 nucleotides) under Hevea brasiliensis (rubber tree). The record is from RNAcentral. Lineage: Eukaryota; Viridiplantae; Streptophyta; Magnoliopsida; Malpighiales; Euphorbiaceae.